This 977-nucleotide ribosomal RNA is filed under the name Stenasellus virei. RNAcentral describes it as "partial 28S ribosomal RNA". It matches the Rfam family "Eukaryotic large subunit ribosomal RNA", at positions 366 to 934 of the family's 3401-position model. Lineage: Eukaryota; Metazoa; Arthropoda; Malacostraca; Isopoda; Stenasellidae. The record is from RNAcentral.
GAAAAGAACUUUGAAGAAAGAGUUCAAGAGAACGUGAAACUACCACGAGGUUAAAACGGAUGGACAUGCGUAGCGGAAAAGGGGGUCUCAUCUCCUCGAGCCCCGCGGCGCGGGCGCGAUCUAGACCGUCUUCGUCCGGCCUCCCUCGCGGAGGUUUCCGGCUCCGAAGAAGGCUGUCGCGUCUGCGGACGACGGGGAAAGGGGGGUGGAUUUCCCUCCUUAGUACGCGGUCGCGGCCGCUCGGAGGUUGUCCGUGAUCGGGAGCUCGGGAACCGAGCCGCCUUCGGCCUCUCUUCAACGAGGGAGGUACGGAGCCGCGGAUCGGGGACACUCCCUGAAUUCUGACGGACUCUCGAACGGUUUGCCAUAGAAGGGGCCCCUCUCUCCCUCCUUUUCGGAGGGGGGAGGGGGCUUCGGCCCCUUACGCGGCCGAUAUUCGCGAUCGUCCAUCCGUCCCGUCUUGAAACACGGACCAAGGAGUCUAACAUGCGCGCGAGUCGAAGGGAUAAGUCUAAUCCCCGAGGCGCAACGAAAGCGAAAAAGGUUCUCCCUCUCGCCGCUUCGCGGCCUCCGCCCUCGCUGCCGCCGCUGUCCCUCUUCGUCCGCGUGCGCUCUUUCCUCCCCUCCUCGGGGAGGGGGGGCGUCGUUGGCGUCGGGAAGAUAGCGACGGUAGUAUUACGGGGCGGUGGUUCGGCGGUCGUAGUAAGGGGGUUCCGUUGGGCCGAUCCGAGCUCCUUCCUAUUAAUUUUUUUUUAUUAUUAGGGGGACCGGCGCAGGCCCGGGGCUCGUCGCUACCCUCUCGUUGCCCUUCGCGGGGCUUCGUGACGGGCGGCGGGCACCUCGAGCGUACAUGCUAGUACCCGAAAGAUGGUGAUCUAUGCCUGGCCAGGACGAAGCCAGAGGAAACUCUGGUGGAGGUCCGUAGCGAUUCUGACGUGCAAAUCGAUCGUCAGAGCUGGGUAUAGGGCGAAGACCAU